GCAUCGAUGAAGAACGCAGCGAAAUGCGAUAAGUAAUGUGAAUUGCAGAAUCAGUGAGUCAUCGAAUCUUUGAACGCACAUUGCGCCUCUCGGUAUUCCGGGAGGCACGCCUGUUCGAGCGCCAUUACAAACUCCAAGCGUUGGCUUGAUGUUGGGCGACGUCCUUUUCGGAGAGGAAGGGACGGGCCUGGAAGGAGUGGGCGGCCUCCGGCGGACCGCGAGCGUAGCAAGACGUCAGCGUCAAGUCGCUCGGUUGGGUCCGACGAGGGGUCAGUCUCUCUGUGUCGGUGGUGCUGUCGUCGAAGGUCGAGAGGCUUUGGGCCUCUGGAUGUUUGGGCGAGAGCACGUCGAAGAACGCACGCAAACAGUUUGGCCUCGGAUCAGGCGGGGAUACCCGCUGAACUUAAGCAUAUCAAUAAGCGGAGGA
RNAcentral lists this ribosomal RNA (427 nucleotides) under uncultured fungus. RNAcentral describes it as "eukaryotic LSU rRNA". The stretch from base 1 to 124 matches the Rfam family "5.8S ribosomal RNA", at positions 30 to 154 of the family's 154-position model. The record is from RNAcentral. Lineage: Eukaryota; Fungi.